CCAGUGAUUAAGCGCCUGAUUGGAAGGCAGGGUCAACCCAGGGGACCUCAGGUGCAUGCAGUGCAUCUGAGUGACAGGAAGACCUGAUGGAUUCUGGCUCCACCCCUUCCCAGACCUCAUUUAAGGGUUGGCAGUGGAGGUAAGGGUGUCUUGCUGGACUCUGCUGCAUACUUGAGGUUUUUAGAAGGAUUAAAGAGUGCUUGUGACAAGAGAAAACAGAUCUCCCUUUUUGAUUCUGUGGGUGAAAUGGCCAGAGCAAGGAGAAGAGGCAGCUGUGUAGGAUGCAGAGUACUGCCUCAACAUCAUCAGGAAAAAAAAAGUUGGUGAGAGCCAGACCACCAGAGAAGAGGAUCUAUACAACAUGGGCAUGCUAGUCCCUGGCAUGUAGUGUGUGUGUUGGCACAGUAUUUCACCAAAACAAGAAGGGAAGAAAUAGUUUUUAGUGUGAUUAUAUUUACAUUGAGAAAAAUCUAUUUUUUUGUUAUCUGUUUCCUGAAUCUGAUAUAUCUGUGAAAACCACAGUUCCAAAAGCAGUAUAUCUGUGUAAGAAAUAGACCUAAUGCUCAAUUCCUUUCACACAGAGAGCUUGUUUCUAGUACAACUAUGUGCUAUCACCUGUGAAACACACCAGGCUCUGCAAAGGAGAACCAGGUCCAAAUGACUGCAAGUCAUUUGUCCAUCUAGGGGGGAAAAAAAAAAGAAAGGCCUAAAUAGUUUCAGUGCUACCCUAUCAGAAAGUGCCCAGGUGCAACAGGAAUCUCCCUCAAAGCACCUGCCCUGGGAUGAAGAGCCAUCACAUGCUUCCUCUCGAUCUUCCCCUAUGUGUGACUGCAACCCAUGUGGUAGCUCUAGCAAAUAUGGAGAGGAAACAGCAACUGACAAG
RNAcentral lists this long non-coding RNA (883 nucleotides) under Gallus gallus (chicken). Its description in RNAcentral is "lncRNA (ENSGALG00010023734.1)". Lineage: Eukaryota; Metazoa; Chordata; Aves; Galliformes; Phasianidae. The record is from RNAcentral.